UGAUUGUCCCUUGCCCCUUGGAUGGUUUGCCGAGCAGAGCAACUAAUCUUUGUAUUUUUAAGAAAGUCUAUUUGAUGAUGCACUGCCUGCAGCUAGAAAUGGUUUGAACAACCAUCAACGACCAAACACUGAUGUUGGGGAAUUCGGUGAAAUAUUAUUUUGACGAAUGAAGAAUACUUCUCUGGAGCGGGGCAUAUCAACUUACGAAGCUGAAAACAACGCCUGCGGAAUUUAACGAUACAUUUAAUGAUCCUGAUAUUGUGUAAAUGUAGCUUUCCAAUUGGGAAAUUAAUAAUUAAGGUAUAAUAUUACAUAAACAUCAUACCUGUGGCAUCUUUUGUCUGUGUUAAUACUCCUUUAAUGCUACUCAGUUUUUGAUUCAGUUCACUCAUUCCAUCUUUCAUUUCACUUAUUCCAUCUUUCAUUCCACUCAUUCCUUCUUUCAUUCCACUCAUUCCAUCUUUCAUUCCACUUACUCCAUCUUUCAUUCCACUCAUUUAAUCUUUAAUUUCACUCAUUCCAUCUCUCAUUCCACUCAUUCCAUCUUUCAUUCCACUCAUUCCAUCUUUCAUUUCACUCAUUCCAUCUUUCAUUCCACUCAUUCCAUCUUUCAUUUUACUAACUCCAUCUUUCAUUUCACUUAUUCCAUCUUUCAUUCCACUCAUUCCAUCUUUCAUUUUACUAACGCCAUCUUUCAUUUCACUUACUCCAUCUUCAUUCAUUUCAUAUUUCACUUCACUCAUUUCAUGUUUAACCUCAUUUUCGAGAAACAGGUGGAAAUCAUUCCUCAGACGAUUGAUUCGCUGAUUAAGUUUUUCUACUUCCUUUGUAGGAAAAUCCGAUUCUUUCAAAUUGCCAAUUUUCUCCAGAGAUGUCGUGCUAAAAUUCAAAGCAGUGAACGCAUCUGUGGCGUGCUUGACAUAGUCAUCGAAGGUGACUUUAUUAAUUUGAGGGCUGGAUGUAUGACAAAGUGUGUUUCGUAAAAGACGAAGCUGGUCAAUGGCAAGUGCAAUCGUCUCAUUUGUAUCUCCACUCGAGCUUCUCACGGCAGAGUGGAAUGGAGCAGGGACUGGCUUUCGUCCGUUUAAAUACAUUUCUCCAAGCGUCUUUUUCUUUCCUGUGCUGUCUGGUAGAGCAAAUGUUCUUGCAUACAGAGUGGCUUGAAAUAGUGCAGUGCAGUCCCACUUUUUAAAUGAGUCGUUCGUGGGGAUUUUUGUGUUUGGAGCCUCAUUCUUGUGGAGUAUAUUGCGUACAAGAGGCGAGUCAUCCCAAACAGUGGAACUUGGUGCAACUCUGGUGUCCCACAUGUCUACAAAGAUGCUACGCAAAGCAUCUGGGAAUUCCUUUAGGACGAAUGACGCAAACUUGAAGUAGUUAAGCUCUUCAUCAGAAUACGGCUGGAUAGACAUGUUGGCUGAGUUUC
Paramuricea clavata is the source of this 1423-nucleotide non-coding RNA. NCBI's taxonomy places the organism in Eukaryota, Metazoa, Cnidaria, Anthozoa, Malacalcyonacea, Plexauridae. The record is from the annotation of a GenBank genome assembly.